GACCACGAAAGAACCCUUUUGACCUCAAAUCGGGUGAGACUACCCGCCGAACUUAAGCAUAUCAAUAAGC
This 70-nucleotide ribosomal RNA is filed under the name Lactifluus madagascariensis. Its description in RNAcentral is "partial 28S large subunit ribosomal RNA". The record is from RNAcentral. Lineage: Eukaryota; Fungi; Basidiomycota; Agaricomycetes; Russulales; Russulaceae.